GUUGAGAAGCACUGCAGCCAUGUGUUUGAUGGUUGCAGCCUCCUGGAAGCGGUUCAGUCAGGAGCAGUUUGUGACUACAUUGACAUUUAAGUGGCUGUGCUUGGGAGGUGAAGGGCAUGAUAGGAGAAAGUAAGGAUAUGAGAAAGCUGAGUACAACAAAGAACAAUGGACGGAAGAAGACAGAAGGACCUGUAGGAGACCCAGCUGGGGGCCUGAUGCAACAGCUAUGGGCCUUGCGCAACAUUGACUUCAGAGCGAUGGCGUUUGUCUUCCCAAGUCACCGUUACGUGUGAUGGAGCCCUGCUUUCCUGGAGAUGGCUGAACACCUGCCUGCCCAUGGGAAGUGGGGAAUGAAUUCCUUGUCUCAUUUUACUUGUGCGUGUGGGCUGUGAGGCUGGGCAGCUGGGGGUCUUGUGUAGUAUUGACUUUGGGUGGGAAA
Long non-coding RNA from Grus americana (Whooping crane), 439 nucleotides. RefSeq lists it as uncharacterized. The record is from RefSeq and is a predicted model, not a curated record. NCBI's taxonomy places the organism in Eukaryota, Metazoa, Chordata, Aves, Gruiformes, Gruidae. The transcript is spliced from 3 exons.